GGCGGGCCCCCUCCCACCCCUUGUUUUACUUUACCAGCUCUCCUCCAAGUCCUCUCCCCGUCUCGUGGUUCGCCGCCGCCGCCGCCGUUCCAACGCCGUGGGCGGGGUACGGGGGCUACAGGCCCGCAUGCCGUGGGCUGCUGCGAGGAUGUGAUGUGAUGCGAUGCGCGACGCGGUGGCGGCGUAAUCCACUCGAAACCACGGCCGCCGGCGCGGGGUGGAAAAGAAAAGGUGAUUCUCUAGAUCGGGGCUUUGUAUGUAUCGCCCGCUUCCCCUCUCUCUCUCGACACAUGAUGCGGACAUCCACGGAACAAAUGAAUUCCAUUAUCAAAAUGUAAUUCUGCAGAAUCAUUUCUUUAGAUCGGUACAUAUCCUUCAUGAAUCGGGAAAUAUCCUGAUCCUCAUGUUUAAUGGAUAUGCCUUAAGCUGCUGCUGGGCUGCUGGCAAGGGAUUCUACUUCUAAUUAAAAUUUUGAAUUAAAUUUGUAAAUAUACUGUUAAUUUGUUUUUUCUUAU
RNAcentral lists this small RNA (515 nucleotides) under Oryza sativa Japonica Group (Japanese rice). Its description in RNAcentral is "sRNA Os01g0318201". The record is from RNAcentral. Lineage: Eukaryota; Viridiplantae; Streptophyta; Magnoliopsida; Poales; Poaceae.